Non-coding RNA from Termitomyces sp. T32_za158, 85 nucleotides. NCBI's taxonomy places the organism in Eukaryota, Fungi, Basidiomycota, Agaricomycetes, Agaricales, Lyophyllaceae. The record is from the annotation of a GenBank genome assembly.
GUCCGUAUCGAUUAGUGGUUAAAUCAUCUCGUUGUGGUUAUCUUCUAUCUCCGAGAAGCCGCAGGCUCGAAUCCUGCUACGGACA